RNAcentral lists this transfer RNA (74 nucleotides) under Candidatus Woesearchaeota archaeon. RNAcentral describes it as "tRNA-Arg". It matches the Rfam family "tRNA". Rfam says of the family: Transfer RNA (tRNA) molecules are approximately 80 nucleotides in length. Their secondary structure includes four short double-helical elements and three loops (D, anti-codon, and T loops). Further hydrogen bonds mediate the characteristic L-shaped molecular structure. tRNAs have two regions of fundamental functional importance: the anti-codon, which is responsible for specific mRNA codon recognition, and the 3' end, to which the tRNAs corresponding amino acid is attached (by aminoacyl-tRNA synthetases). tRNAs cope with the degeneracy of the genetic code in two manners: having more than one tRNA (with a specific anti-codon) for a particular amino acid; and 'wobble' base-pairing, i.e. permitting non-standard base-pairing at the 3rd anti-codon position. The record is from RNAcentral. Lineage: Archaea; Nanobdellati; Candidatus Woesearchaeota.
GGGCUCGUAGUCUAGCUUGGAUAGGAUACGAGGCUUCGGACCUCGAGACCAGGGUUCAAAUCCCUGCGAGCCCG